UAAUAGCGUAUAUUAAAGUUGUUGCAGUUAAAAAGCUCGUAGUCGGAUGUCGGGCUCGGGCAGGCUGUCGGCCUCUGGUCGGACGGCAGGCUCGGGUCUUCUUGCCUGGGGGCUCCGUCACACUUAACUGUGGGGCGGUAGGUUGCAGGCCGUUUACUUUGAAAAAAUUAGAGUGUUCAAAGCAGGCCUACGCUUGAAUACAUUAGCAUGGAAUAAUGGAAUAGGACUUUGGUGCUAUUUUGUUGGUUUAUGGGACUGAAGUAAUGAUUAAUAGGGACAGUUGGGGCCGUUUAUAUUUCGUUGUCAGAGGUGAAAUUCUUGGAUUUACGAAAGAUAAACUUCUGCGAAAGCAUUCGGCAAGGAUGUUUUCAUUGA
This 375-nucleotide ribosomal RNA is filed under the name uncultured eukaryote. RNAcentral describes it as "partial 18S ribosomal RNA". It matches the Rfam family "Eukaryotic small subunit ribosomal RNA", at positions 592 to 976 of the family's 1831-position model. The record is from RNAcentral.